RNAcentral lists this unclassified non-coding RNA (168 nucleotides) under uncultured Dothideomycetes. RNAcentral's name for it is "sequence contains ITS1". Lineage: Eukaryota; Fungi; Ascomycota; Dothideomycetes. The record is from RNAcentral.
CCGAGUAUCGGGUGCUCUCGCGCCCUGCUCCCACCCUAUGUUUACCUAUAACCGUUGCUUUGGCGGGUCGGUGGGCCACCCACCGCCGGGCAGCGCCUGGAGAGCGCCCGUCAGAGGACCAAACAAACUCUUGUCAACCUGUCGCAUCUGAGCACAUGAGAAUAAGUA